This is a long non-coding RNA of Nicotiana attenuata, 381 nucleotides long. RefSeq lists it as uncharacterized. The record is from RefSeq and is a predicted model, not a curated record. Lineage: Eukaryota; Viridiplantae; Streptophyta; Magnoliopsida; Solanales; Solanaceae. The transcript is spliced from 3 exons.
AGGCCCUUGAGUUGUAUGCCUAGUCUUUUUAAUUUUUCUUGGAAAAAGAAAAUAGGGAAAUGAAAAAUGGAGGGAAAUUCAAUUAUUUUUGGGAAGAGGAAACUCAAAGAAAGAGAGGGAACUCUCAUCGAUCCGAAGCUGAAACUCCUAUCGAUUCAAAGUAGAGGAAUUUGGGGAUUCGAAUGAUCCAUUCUCCAGUAUUUGAAUCGAUUCGAGAUUUGCAUUUGUUGUUUGUUACCGGUGGACAAGUUGCAUUCCUGACUAAUCCCUUAUCUCCCAACGACCGUCGGCCAUCAGGAUAGGUGUAGAAGCUGCAUAGUGGAGAUAACUAAAGGCAUCAGCAGAUUCAACAGCUAUUCUUAACCGAUUUUGCCAAGAAAG